ACCCAGCUGACGAGUCCCAAAUAAGACGAAAUGUGCAUCCUGGAU
This 45-nucleotide non-coding RNA is filed under the name Trichobilharzia regenti. The record is from RNAcentral. Lineage: Eukaryota; Metazoa; Platyhelminthes; Trematoda; Strigeidida; Schistosomatidae.